GAUGAACGCUGGCGGCGUGCCUAAUACAUGCAAGUCGAGCGAACAGACGAGGAGCUUGCUCCUCUGACGUUAGCGGCGGACGGGUGAGUAACACGUGGAUAACCUACCUAUAAGACUGGGAUAACUUCGGGAAACCGGAGCUAAUACCGGAUAAUAUAUUGAACCGCAUGGUUCAAUAGUGUAAGACGGUUUUGCUGUCACUUAUAGAUGGAUCCGCGCCGCAUUAGCUAGUUGGUAAGGUAACGGCUUACCAAGGCAACGAUGCGUAGCCGACCUGAGAGGGUGAUCGGCCACACUGGAACUGAGACACGGUCCAGACUCCUACGGGAGGCAGCAGUAGGGAAUCUUCCGCAAUGGGCGAAAGCCUGACGGAGCAACGCCGCAUGAGUGAUGAAGGUCUUCGGAUCGUAAAACUCUGUUAUUAGGGAAGAACAAAUGUGUAAGUAACUAUGCACGUCUUGACGGUACCUAAUCAGAAAGCCACGGCUAACUACGUG
Molecule: ribosomal RNA, 497 nt
Filed under: uncultured bacterium
Lineage: Bacteria
Description: partial 16S ribosomal RNA
Rfam family: Bacterial small subunit ribosomal RNA
Source: RNAcentral